Photinus pyralis (common eastern firefly) is the source of this 511-nucleotide long non-coding RNA. RefSeq lists it as uncharacterized. Lineage: Eukaryota; Metazoa; Arthropoda; Insecta; Coleoptera; Lampyridae. The transcript has 2 exons. The record is from RefSeq and is a predicted model, not a curated record.
CCUACAUAAUCUGAAGUGUAGUUCUAGCUGAGGCUGAGUAGUUUAUAAGUUUACUAUUCUUGAUUUGUAAGGUUUAUCUGUACAUUUUUUAUUGUUAAAAAGGAACUUAAUUUAAUAAGUUUUUAAAUCAGUAAACAAAAACAAUGUCUUUAUCGCCUUUUCUUCGAUCGCCCUUCACCGACUUGACUGGCGCAAUGGUCAGUCACCAAUGGUACGGACAAUGUGCAGAUAUGGAAUUAAAGGUGAUGGAUUGUUUAGAGGCGUACGGAGUUGAUAAAGGGCGAAAGAAGUGUGACACUCUCAUUCAAGACUUCCAAGAAUGCGCUUCACGAAAAAUUCGAAACCAACGUAUUAUCGAAAUGCGACAGGAGAGGCAUCGGCAAUAUAAAGCAGGGGAACGUUCGAAGGAAGAUUUGUACGUUCCUACCAUUAAAACAAAUGGAUAUUAGUGUAAAACUUGUAAUUUGUAGUAAUAUAGUCUGAUCUUUCAAAUAAAAUAUGUUGGUACUAA